This 273-nucleotide ribosomal RNA is filed under the name uncultured Staphylococcus sp. RNAcentral describes it as "partial 16S ribosomal RNA". It matches the Rfam family "Bacterial small subunit ribosomal RNA", at positions 90 to 354 of the family's 1533-position model. Lineage: Bacteria; Bacillati; Bacillota; Bacilli; Caryophanales; Staphylococcaceae. The record is from RNAcentral.
CGUUAGCGGCGGACGGGUGAGUAACACGUGGGGUAACCUACCUAUAAGACUGGGAUAACUUCGGGAAACCGGAGCUAAUACCGGAUAAUAUUUCGAACCGCAUGGUUCGAUAGUGAAAGGUGGUUUUGCUAUCACUUAUAGAUGGACCCGCGCCGUAUUAGCUAGUUGGUAAGGUAACGGCUUACCAAGGCGACGAUACGUAGCCGACCUGAGAGGGUGAUCGGCCACACUGGAACUGAGACACGGUCCAGACUCCUACGGGAGGCAGCAGAU